AUGGCCGCCGCCGCCGCCUCUCGCGCCGCCGGCCGCCUCCUUUCACCCCGUCUCCUCAUCGCCUCGCGCCAUCUCCAAGCAAGUGCCUCGGAGGGAUCGGCGAGGGAUGCGUCCACAAGCUUCAUCCACCCCGCCGCCGUCGUCCACCCCGACGCCGCCAUCGGCCAGGGUGUCUCGGUAGGCCCAUUUUGCACCGUGGGGGCUUCAGCGAGGAUCAGUGAUGCUUGUCAGUUACAUACAGGGAGUCAUGUCACAGGACACACCGAGCUAGGAGAAGGAUGUGUUGUUCACACUGGUGCUAUUCUUGGUGCAGAUCUACCUGGACGAACAAUUAUUGGGGAAAACAAUGUAAUUGGGAACUAUGCUGUGGUUGGUGUUAAGUGUCAAGAUCUCAAAUAUAAGCCAGGAGAUGAAUGCUUUCUACGCAUUGGUAACAACAAUGAGAUCAGAGAGUACUGCUCUAUUCAUCGAUCUUCUAAAUCUUGUGACUGCACGGUUAUUGGUGACAAUAAUCUCAUAAUGGGGUCCUGCCAUGUAGCACAUGACUGCAAGAUUGGUAGCAAUAACAUCUUUGCUAAUAAUACUCUAUUUGGUGGCCAUGUUAUUGUUGAAGACUGCACUCAUACUGCUGGGGCUGUCGUUGUCCAUCAAUUUUGUCACAUUGGAUCAUUCUCAUUUCUAGGCGGAGGCUCUGUGGUUGCACAAGAUGUUCCAAGAUAUACGAUGGUUGCAGGUGAUAGAGCAGAGCUUCGUGGUCUGAAUCUUGAAGGUCUCAGGCGCAACGGUUUCUCAGACCAAGAGGUACGGAGCCUAAGGAAAGCAUAUAGGAAAGUAUUUAUGCCAGCUAGUAGUUCCCAGAGUAACUUUGAAGACCGGCUCGCCGAACUGGAGCGGGAAAUUGAGCUAUUGGAAUCUCCCUCUGUAUCCUAUAUGGUGGAAUCUAUUCGCACCUCAUUUGACCAAGGACGUCGUGGAAUUUGCAAAUUCAGAAGUUGGAACAUCUCAUAA
RNAcentral lists this ribosomal RNA (1008 nucleotides) under Triticum aestivum (bread wheat). RNAcentral describes it as "partial small subunit ribosomal RNA". Lineage: Eukaryota; Viridiplantae; Streptophyta; Magnoliopsida; Poales; Poaceae. The record is from RNAcentral.